RNAcentral lists this long non-coding RNA (1262 nucleotides) under Homo sapiens (human). RNAcentral describes it as "HSALNT0289966". The record is from RNAcentral. Lineage: Eukaryota; Metazoa; Chordata; Mammalia; Primates; Hominidae.
AGAAGAAGAAGGCUGGCACCCCACUAGGGAAGAGUUUGAUGGGGGAUUCUCAUCUGGGCACCACACAGUUUAUAGGAACCCAGGGCGGACUUGCCUGGAUCCCGAAUGGGCUGUGGGGACUCUGGGGACAGGUCAAGAGCACACAACUGUCCUGGAGAAGGACACAGAGGGUGAUGUGACCAGCCAGGCAGUGCUCACCCUCCAUCCCCAACCCACCCAAGUGCCCCGCGCCCGCUUCUCGGAUGAGAAGGGGGUUGCUGGGGGAGGGGUCUGAGACCUCACAGCCUCCAAGGUCCCAGGCUGGUCCCCGGCGUGAGGAGGGAAACUGCAGAUGUGGAUUUGACCAAUUGAAUCCUGACCUCCCAGAGCUCAGGAAAAUGCUCUCUGGAGGAGGACUCUGUGUGACAAUGCCCAUCUCCCGGUAUCUCUUGGUGCCUCGAGGAAACUGUUUGCUCUUCUGUGAACAGAAUCCAGGCCAAGGAAGUAAAGGGAGAACGGCAGCCCCUCCUGAGGCUGUGAUUAAGGACUUCAUGGAGAGAAACACAUCGCUCCUGGGACACCAGCCCUGAGGAAGCACCAGCUCUGGGACCUGCAGGGCUCCACUUGACCUCUUCUGCUUAAUUCCAGGGUGACCUUCAGAGAGUGGACUCCAAGCAGGAGCUCACAGCAAGAGCUCCAAGCACCGCUAAUGGUUCACCCCCUGGAAACCGUCUCUGUUUAGACCUGGGCUUCUAAUAAAUUAAUUUUAAGAUGGCAGUACAAGUUUGAAGAGGGCACCUUAGAAGGCAUUUGCAGCCAUGAAGGUUGACUCCGUGGUACAUGUAACAUUACGUGAGCUGGAGGACAGCCUGACUCCUCUUUACCUUUCAGCUGGAUAAUAGGAGCUAACAUUCAUCUUUCCAAGUAAGAGGACCAAGUGUGCUCCCAAUGGUAGGAAUUCCACAGACAGCAGCAGUGUGCAGCCCACGGCGUGAAUUCAGGUGUCCAAUAUCACCUUCAGAAGCAUGUGAGUGAAGGGAUGGACAUGAAUGUGAGAGAGAGAGAGAGAGAAAGAGAGAGAAAGAAAGAGAAAGAGACAGACAGAGAGAGAAGAGGGAGCGAGAGAGAGAGAUUGAGAUUCACCCCUGUUAUGGAAAAUGUCUAGAAUAGAGUUUCCCAAUGCCUUAUUUUUGUCUGACAUUUCAAAAAGAUUAGUGUGUGGGUGUCAGGUAUUAAUAUUGAUCUUCAUUCAUUCCUUUGGGUAAACAGCUGCUUGAACACAG